GAUGAAUGCUGGCGGCGUGCCUUAGGUAUGCAAGUCGAGCGAGCCCGCAAGGGCUAGCGGCGGACGGGUGAGUAAUGUAUCGGAACGUGCCCUAAAGUGGGGGAUACCCAGCCGAAAGGUUGGUUAAUACCGCAUGUGACCUCCGGGUCAAAGCAGCAAUGCGCUUUAGGAUCGGCCGAUAUCCCAUCAGGUAGUUGGUAGAGUAAUAGCCUACCAAGCCGACGACGGGUAGCUGGUCUGAGAGGAUGGUCAGCCACAAGGGAACUGAGACACGGUC
RNAcentral lists this ribosomal RNA (277 nucleotides) under uncultured bacterium. RNAcentral describes it as "partial 16S ribosomal RNA". It matches the Rfam family "Bacterial small subunit ribosomal RNA", at positions 28 to 331 of the family's 1533-position model. The record is from RNAcentral.